GAAUUGACGGGGCCCGCACAAGCGGAGGACAUGUGGUUUAAUUCGAUGAUACGCGAGGAACCUUACCUGGGCUUAAAUGGGGAGUGACAGCUGUCGAAAGAUGGUUUUCUUCGGACACUCUUCAAGGUGCUGCAUGGUUGUCGUCAGCUCGUGCCGUGAGGUGUCGGGUUAAGUCCCAUAACGAGCGCAACCCUUACCGUUAGUUACCAUCAGGUUAAGCUGGGGACUCUAGCGGGACUGCCACCGUAAGGUGAGAGGAAGGUGGGGAUGACGUCAAAUCAGCACGGCCCUUAUGUCCAGGGCUACACACGUGUUACAAUGGCCAGUACAAAGGGCAGCUACCGGGUGACCGGAUGCUAAUCUCUAAAGCUGGUCUCAGUUCGGAUCGAAGUCUGCAACCCGACUUCGUGAAGCUGGAUUCGCUAGUAAUCGCGCAUCAGCCAUGGCGCGGUGAAUACGUUCCCGGGCCUU
This 471-nucleotide ribosomal RNA is filed under the name uncultured Sphingobacteriales bacterium. RNAcentral's name for it is "bacterial SSU rRNA". It matches the Rfam family "Bacterial small subunit ribosomal RNA", at positions 907 to 1382 of the family's 1533-position model. Lineage: Bacteria; Pseudomonadati; Bacteroidota; Sphingobacteriia; Sphingobacteriales. The record is from RNAcentral.